Molecule: ribosomal RNA, 439 nt
Filed under: uncultured bacterium
Lineage: Bacteria
Description: bacterial SSU rRNA
Rfam family: Bacterial small subunit ribosomal RNA
Source: RNAcentral
ACGCGAGGAACCUUACCAGGUCUUGACAUCCUCUGACACUCCUAGAGAUAGGACGUUCCCCUUCGGGGGACAGAGUGACAGGUGGUGCAUGGUUGUCGUCAGCUCGUGUCGUGAGAUGUUGGGUUAAGUCCCGCAACGAGCGCAACCCUUGAUCUUAGUUGCCAGCAUUAAGUUGGGCACUCUAAGGUGACUGCCGGUGACAAACCGGAGGAAGGUGGGGAUGACGUCAAAUCAUCAUGCCCCUUAUGACCUGGGCUACACACGUGCUACAAUGGAUGGUACAAAGGGCAGCAAAGCGGUGACGCCUAGCGAAUCCCAUAAAACCAUUCUCAGUUCGGAUUGUAGGCUGCAACUCGCCUACAUGAAGCUGGAAUCGCUAGUAAUCGCGGAUCAGCAUGCCGCGGUGAAUACGUUCCCGGGCCUUGCACACACCGCCCGU